Molecule: long non-coding RNA, 1782 nt
Filed under: Canis lupus familiaris (dog)
Lineage: Eukaryota; Metazoa; Chordata; Mammalia; Carnivora; Canidae
Description: lncRNA (ENSCAFG00040022738.1)
Source: RNAcentral
UAGAGAGAGAUGAGUUAAAGAGAGAAGUUGGAAUACAAGAGCGUUCUUUGGUCCCAAGUAUGAAGAGGAGCAACUUCGGUUACAUUAGCCUCUGGUUCCAGUUCCCUGCCACUAGGUGUCACUAAGUAAUCUAAUUAAAUACCAAUUUAUGACUCCAACAAAUGAGAAGACACGGAACGAAAUGAGGCAGAAAUAAAAAUUAAGGUCAUGUGGCCUAAAUAAAAUCCUGUAGCUUAUCUACAACAGCUAUUUCAAAACAGCGGGAUGAGUCCCUGGAACAUGAAUUGGAAAGUUCAUGAAUUAACAAGAACACGUAAGAGGGCUUAGUCUUUAUGGGGGAAAAUGAAUAAAUUCUUUAUAGUUUAUGUACUCUUCCUUUUUUCUCUCCUAUUAAAUUGGACAUCCUGCUGCCUUCAUUUUCAUGAGCAUAAUUAGAUUUUAUGUGAUCCAAACGUUUUGGCUGGGCCGUCAGCAUCUGCUAAGGCAACUGUACUUCCCUUGAUCCUUUAUUCAGAUAUUUUAGUGUUAAACUUUGUUACUAUCGUUGAGGGUGCUGACCUGAACUACCUAAAAAGCAAACUUGAUCAGUGUUAAUACCUGUCCUUGGGAAGAUCCUAUUUAUCCAUCAGGAUUCAAAUGAAAUGUUUUCAAGUUUGUCAAACCUGGUCCCCAGGGAGCCCUUCCGUUCACUUCAUUUUUGCCACAGGACAGCUGCAUAUUUUUCCAUGAGGCAUUUUUCUCCUGACCCGGUCAUUGUGUGUUUAUGUACCUGUCUUCUGCACAGACUGUGAGCUCCCUAAGGAUGAGGACCAGCUCCACAAAAACUCGAUGCUGCUGCCCUGCCACUUGGCUUCCAGCUCUGCUGUAGAGACCCUCUGUGGCCCUCAUGCGGUGCAGAACAAGUCAGGAGGCAAUUACUGAUUCCUCUGAGCACCCCCCUAGAAUUUUCUCCAACAUCAUUUCAGCAAGAGAUAAAACCGAUUGGCUGCAUCUUGAACGUUUUUUCACAAAUUAUAAUACCACCAGGGCACCUGGGUGGCCCAGUAGUGGUUGAACAUCUGCCUUCAGCCCAGGGCAUGACCCCGGAGUCCUGGGAUCGAGUCCUGCAUCAGGCUCCCCCCAGGGAGCCUGCUUCUCCCUCUUCCUGUGUCUCUGCCUCUCUCUCUGGGUCUCUCAUGAAUAAAUAAAUAAAAUCUUUUUUAAAAAUUGUAAGAUCACCAAGACUCCUGUUUUAGAGAUGCGGAAACUUAAUGUUUAGAGAAGUUAAAGUGGAUUAGGGCCACACAUCUCGUAAGUGGUGAAACCAGUUAACAAAUGUAAGAACCCCUAUUCUUUGCCCCUUGAAUAUAUCCAGUUUAUCUCAGCCCCAGAAGGAUCAAUUUUUAUUUUUUUAAUUUAUUUUAUUUUUUUUGAGGGAUCAAUUUUUAAAAACACAUUUCCUGCAAGAUAACUAUUUAAGUCAUUUCCAUUAAAGAGAAAAGAUAAUGAUUUUCUCCCUCAUGUGCUCUGACCUGGCUGCUGACAACUCAAUUUCCAGAGAAGAAGGAGAGUCCCAACUUCUGUAACUGACAGUCUCUUCCACCCCCAUCCAGACCUCAGGCUGUUCCGAACAUUCCUGAAUCAGAAAUUAAAUAUGGAGAAAUCUAAGUCAGUUGUGGAAAAAUCUAAGCUUAGCACUCACCAUGUCUUGUAGUUAGUGCUACGGGGUUCACUUCUGCAUGCACCUUAGAGGUGGGACAUCACUUUAAAAUAAUCAAUUUACUGAUAUAACAUGUCCAUUAC